GAUGAACGCUGGCGGCGUGCCUAAUACAUGCAAGUCGAGCGAACAGACGAGGAGCUUGCUCCUCUGACGUUAGCGGCGGACGGGUGAGUAACACGUGGAUAACCUACCUAUAAGACUGGGAUAACUUCGGGAAACCGGAGCUAAUACCGGAUAAUAUAUUGAACCGCAUGGUUCAAUAGUGAAAGACGGUUUUGCUGUCACUUAUAGAUGGAUCCGCGCCGCAUUAGCUAGUUGGUAAGGUAACGGCUUACCAAGGCAACGAUGCGUAGCCGGCCUGAGAGGGUGAUCGCCCACACUGGAACUGAGACACGGUCCAGGCUCCUACGGGAGGCAGCAGUAGGGAAUCUUCCGCAAAGGGCGAAAGCUUGACGGAGCAACGCCGCGUGAGUGAUGAAGGUCUUCGGAUCGUAAAACUCUGUUAUUAGGGAAGAACAAAUGUGUAAGUAACUAUGCACGUCUUGACGGUACCUAAUCAGAAAGCCACGGCUAACUACGUG
This 497-nucleotide ribosomal RNA is filed under the name uncultured bacterium. RNAcentral describes it as "partial 16S ribosomal RNA". It matches the Rfam family "Bacterial small subunit ribosomal RNA", at positions 28 to 507 of the family's 1533-position model. The record is from RNAcentral.